AAAAGGUUUGGUCCCAGCCUUUCUAUUAACUGUUAGUAAGAUUACACAUGCAAGUAUCAGCACUCCGGUGAAGACGCCCUUCAAAUCACACAAAUGAUCCGAAGGAGCGGGUAUCAAGCACACUACCAAAAGUAGCUCAAGACACCUCGCCUAGCCACACCCCCACGGGAUACAGCAGUGACAAAAAUUAAGCCAUGAACGAAAGUUCGACUAAGCUAUACUAACUCCUAAGGGUUGGUAAAUUUCGUGCCAGCCACCGCGGUCAUACGAUUAACCCAAGUUAAUAGACAAACGGCGUAAAACGUGUUAAGGAAACUCCACCAAAUAAAGUUAAAUUUAGCCUACGCUGUAAAAAGCUUAAGUCUAGACAAAAAUAAACUACGAAAGUGACUUUAAAUACUCCGACCACACGAUAGCUAAGACACAAACUGGGAUUAGAUACCCCACUAUGCUUAGCCCUAAACUCAAAUAAUCAACACAACAAUAUUAUUCGCCAGAGCACUACUAGCAAUAGCUUAAAACUCAAAGGACUUGGCGGUGCUUUAUAUCCCUCUAGAGGAGCCUGUUCUGUAAUCGAUAAACCCCGAUAAACCUCACCGACCCUUGCUAAUACAGUCUAUAUACCGCCAUCUUCAGCAAACCCUAAAAAGGAACCAUAGUAAGCAAAAAUAUAGAACAUAAAAACGUUAGGUCAAGGUGUAGCCAAUGGGCCGGGAAGAAAUGGGCUACAUUUUCUAAAAUAGAACAUAUACGAAAAUUUUCGUGAAACCGAAAAUAGAAGGAGGAUUUAGUAGUAAAUUAAGAAUAGAGAGCUUAAUUGAAUUAGGCCAUGAAGCACGCACACACCGCCCGUCACCCUCCUCAAGUACCAAAAAUACAAACAACUAACAUAUAAAAGAGUAUACACAUAUGAGAGGAGACAAGUCGUAACAAGGUAAGCGUACUGGAAAGUGCGCUUGGACAAAUC
Molecule: non-coding RNA, 967 nt
Filed under: Dobsonia viridis
Lineage: Eukaryota; Metazoa; Chordata; Mammalia; Chiroptera; Pteropodidae
Description: 12S small subunit ribosomal RNA
Rfam family: Bacterial small subunit ribosomal RNA
Source: RNAcentral